This is a small nucleolar RNA of Alnus glutinosa, 74 nucleotides long. Lineage: Eukaryota; Viridiplantae; Streptophyta; Magnoliopsida; Fagales; Betulaceae. The record is from RefSeq and is a predicted model, not a curated record.
CCUAUGUCGGUGAUGGGUUUAAAUAUACUACGAGAGAUUAGUCUCUGUGAAAUUAAUUUAAUCUGAGGCUUGGG